CCUACGGGAGGCAGCAGUGAGGAAUAUUGGUCAAUGGGCGUAAGCCUGAACCAGCCAAGUCGCGUGAGGGAUGAAGGUUCUAUGGAUCGUAAACCUCUUUUAUAAGGGAAUAAAGUGUGGGACGUGUCCUGUUUUGUAUGUACCUUAUGAAUAAGGAUCGGCUAACUCUGUGCCAGCAGCCGCGGUAAUACGGAGGAUCCGAGCGUUAUCCGGAUUUAGUGGGUUUAAAGGGUGCGUAGGCGGCCUUGUAAGUCAGCUGUGCAAGUCUGUGGCUCAACCAUAGAAUUGCUGUUGAAACUGGGAGGUUUGAGGAUGUUUGAGGCAGGCGGAAUGCGUGGUGUAGCGGUGAAAUGCUUAGAUAUCAGGCGGAACCCCGAUGGCGAAGGCAGCCUGCCAAGCCAUGACUGACGCUGAUGCACGAAAGCGUGGGGAUCAAACAGGAUUAGAUACCCUGGUAGUC
This 460-nucleotide ribosomal RNA is filed under the name uncultured bacterium. RNAcentral describes it as "partial 16S ribosomal RNA". It matches the Rfam family "Bacterial small subunit ribosomal RNA", at positions 338 to 795 of the family's 1533-position model. The record is from RNAcentral.